AAGGCGCGCGAUACAGGGUGACAGCCCCGUACACAAAAAUGCACAUAUUGUGAGCUCGAUGAGUAGGGCGGGACACGUGGUAUCCUGUCUGAAUAUGGGGGGACCAUCCUCCAAGGCUAAAUACUCCUGACUGACCGAUAGUGAACCAGUACCGUGAGGGAAAGGCGAAAAGAACCCCGGCGAGGGGAGUGAAAAAGAACCUGAAACCGUGUACGUACAAGCAGUGGGAGCCUCUUUUAUGGGGUGACUGCGUACCUUUUGUAUAAUGGGUCAGCGACUUAUAUUCUGUAGCAAGGUUAACCGAAUAGGGGAGCCGAAGGGAAACCGAGUCUUAACUGGGCGUUAAGUUGCAGGGUAUAGACCCGAAACCCGGUGAUCUAGCCAUGGGCAGGUUGAAGGUUGGGUAACACUAACUGGAGGACCGAACCGACUAAUGUUGAAAAAUUAGCGGAUGACUUGUGGCUGGGGGUGAAAGGCCAAUCAAACCGGGAGAUAGCUGGUUCUCCCCGAAAGCU
RNAcentral lists this ribosomal RNA (515 nucleotides) under Escherichia coli. RNAcentral describes it as "partial 23S ribosomal RNA". It matches the Rfam family "Bacterial large subunit ribosomal RNA", at positions 347 to 867 of the family's 2925-position model. Lineage: Bacteria; Pseudomonadati; Pseudomonadota; Gammaproteobacteria; Enterobacterales; Enterobacteriaceae. The record is from RNAcentral.